Molecule: non-coding RNA, 98 nt
Filed under: Algibacter lectus
Lineage: Bacteria; Pseudomonadati; Bacteroidota; Flavobacteriia; Flavobacteriales; Flavobacteriaceae
Source: RNAcentral
GGUUAGCCCGCGUUAGGGAUUGAGACUUUGUUGGAGCUCUUUUUGUGUGGUUGCACCUAUGCAACACAAAAAAGCGACUGCCGAAAGCCCGACCCUUU